RNAcentral lists this ribosomal RNA (492 nucleotides) under uncultured bacterium. RNAcentral describes it as "partial 16S ribosomal RNA". It matches the Rfam family "Bacterial small subunit ribosomal RNA", at positions 29 to 507 of the family's 1533-position model. The record is from RNAcentral.
AGUGAACGCUGGCGGUAGGCCUAACACAUGCAAGUCGAACGGCAGCACAGUAAGAGCUUGCUCUUACGGGUGGCGAGUGGCGGACGGGUGAGGAAUACAUCGGAAUCUACUUUUUCGUGGGGGAUAACGUAGGGAAACUUACGCUAAUACCGCAUACGACCUACGGGUGAAAGCAGGGGAUCUUCGGACCUUUCGCGAUUGAAUGAGCCGAUGUCGGAUUAGCUAGUUGGCGGGGUAAAGGCCCACCAAGGCGACGAUCCGUAGCUGGUCUGAGAGGGUGAUCAGCCACACUGGAACUGAGACACGGUCCAGACUCCUACGGGAGGCAGCAGUGGGGAAUAUUGGACAAUGGGCGCAAGCCUGAUCCAGCCAUACCGCGUGGGUGAAGAAGGCCUUCGGGUUGUAAAGCCCUUUUGUUGGGAAAGAAAAGCAGCAGGUUAAUACCCCGCUGUUCUGACGGUACCCAAAGAAUAAGCACCGGCUAACUUCGUG